This 414-nucleotide ribosomal RNA is filed under the name Triticum aestivum (bread wheat). Its description in RNAcentral is "partial small subunit ribosomal RNA". Lineage: Eukaryota; Viridiplantae; Streptophyta; Magnoliopsida; Poales; Poaceae. The record is from RNAcentral.
AUGAUGCUUCUGGAAUACAUGAGCUCCGGUGGAAGGCCACCGGAGAACGAGUUGUGUGAAAGGUUGACACGCAGCAGGCCGGUGAGACCGGCAAGGUGCGGCGAGAUGCGACCUUCAAUCCCUCUAGAUGCCAGGGAGACUGCGGUGACGCCCCCCUCCCUGUCGCAGGUUAUGCCUUCCCAUUCGCAGCAGUCCGUGCCGUUUCUCCACGACACGGUGAGGCCGCCAUCUUGGGAUAACCCGGUGAGGAAUUGGAGGAGGGAGUGCUCCUCUUGCUCGGUGCAUGAGCGGGCAGGAGAGGCCAAGGAGAGCAGCAGCAGAAACAGCUGUAGCGUGACUAGGGCUGCAGAAUGCAUGGCUGGUGAUGCCUUCCCAGGGAGCCAAAGCUGGUGGUGGGAGAGGCACCAUGCAUAG